GAAAGAACUCUGCCAGGGCUCUCCGCUCUCUUCGGAAGGUGGAGGAUCUUUCUCCUGUGGCUUCCAUGGACUCCCAGGGCGUAGAACAGGCAGAUCCUCAGAUCCCUGUUUGUGAUAGAAUCUUGAGACCCUGCAGAAUAUUCACAGAUGAAACGAACGGUGGCAUAGAGCACACCCCUUCCCCUUUGUGGAGAAGUGUGCACCACCCUGCCCUCAGAAACCUUCGAGAAUUAAAUGAGAGGCCUCACAAUCAUGGAGGAAGAGCAAGGGACAUCUUACGUGGCAGAAGGCAAGAAGAGAAUGAGAACCAAGCGAAAGGGGGUUCCCCUUAUGAAACCAUCAGAUCUCUUGAGAAGUCACCACCUCAGGAAUAGUGUGGGGAAACUGCCUCCAUGAUUCAAUUAUUUUCUGCUGGGUCCCUCUCAGAACACGUGGGAAUUAUGGAAGCUACAACUCCAGGUGAGAUUUGGGUGGGGACACAGACAAACCAUAUCAAACAGUAAUUUUUAAAGUGACUGAACUAUAAUUUUUUUCCUUUUUUUGUGAGAUAGAGUUUCACUCUUGUUGCCUAGGCUGGAGUGCAAUGGCAUGAUUUUGGCUCACCACAACCUCCACCUCCCGGGUUCAAGCGACUGAGCCUCCACCUCCUGCCUCAACCUCCUGAGUAGCUGGGAUUAGAGGCAUGUGCCAUCAGGCCCAGCUAAUUUUGUAUUUUUAGUAGAGACAGAGUUUCUCCAUGUUGGUCAGGCUGGUCUCAAACUCCCGACCUCAGGUGAUCCGCCUGUCUCAGCCUUCCAAAGUGCUGGGAUUACAGGCAUGAACCACUGUGCCUGGCUUGAACUAUAAUAUUUUAUUUCUUUAUCCAUAUAUCAAUGUGCACUUAAAUUUGUUUCACCUAUGCUCUUAGACAAGACGUGACUCAAAGCUCUCAUACUCUUCAAGCAUUCUGGUCAUUGGUAGACUUUAUAAUGACAGAGUAGACGUGAUAAUGAACAUUUAAACUUAACCAGUCCCUGGAUCCUUUUGUGCUCAGUAUUGAGUUACAGGACUUGUUCUCAUGAAAAAGUCACUCCUUAAGAAAAAUCACCUGUCCUGCCCCCUGUGAUUCCUCUCCCUUAACCACCAAGCUCUUCAGAGAAAUGGGC
RNAcentral lists this long non-coding RNA (1145 nucleotides) under Callithrix jacchus (white-tufted-ear marmoset). RNAcentral describes it as "lncRNA (ENSCJAG00000075418.1)". The record is from RNAcentral. Lineage: Eukaryota; Metazoa; Chordata; Mammalia; Primates; Cebidae.